RNAcentral lists this ribosomal RNA (476 nucleotides) under uncultured soil bacterium. RNAcentral describes it as "bacterial SSU rRNA". It matches the Rfam family "Bacterial small subunit ribosomal RNA", at positions 26 to 518 of the family's 1533-position model. The record is from RNAcentral.
AGGACGAACGCUGGCGGCGUGCUUAACACAUGCAAGUCGAGCGGUAAGGCCCUUUCGGGGGUACACGAGCGGCGAACGGGUGAGUAACACGUGAGCAAUCUGCCCUUCACUUCGGGAUAAGCCUCGGAAACGGGGUCUAAUACCGGAUAUGACCGCGCUACGCAUGUGGUGUGGUGGAAAGUUCUGGCGGUGGAGGAUGAGCUCGCGGCCUAUCAGCUUGUUGGUGGGGUAAUGGCCUACCAAGGCUUCGACGGGUAGCCGGCCUGAGAGGGUGACCGGCCACGACUGGGACUGAGACACGGCCCAGACUCCUACGGGAGGCAGCAGUGGGGAAUAUGGACAAUGGGCGAAAGCCUGAUCCAGCAACGCCGCGUGAGGGAUGACGGCCGUCGGGUUGUAAACCUCUUUCAGCGCCGACGAGCGAGAGUGACGGUAGCGCGAGAAGAAGCACCGGCCAACUACGUGCCAGCAGCCGC